This is a non-coding RNA of Podarcis lilfordi (Lilford's wall lizard), 138 nucleotides long. Lineage: Eukaryota; Metazoa; Chordata; Lepidosauria; Squamata; Lacertidae. The record is from the annotation of a GenBank genome assembly.
UUAUUUUAGCAGCGGCCGUAUCAUAGCCAAUGAGGUUAAUGCAAGGUGUGAUUAUUGCUCAUUGGAAACUGCCCCACACCCUCCUUCAGUGCUUCUUCCCGGCUGGAAUGUGUCCUCAAAUUCUGAUCAUGCCUUUUG